CCCGAAGAAAGACCUCCAGGCUGGCGCGAGGGAAACGGAGGAGCUGCAAGCCGCUGGGUUGUCACCGGGAAAAGGGGAGAGCCGUAGCGAGGCCUCCAGGCCCGGGAAGGCUGCGGGGUGGCGGGAGCUUCCGGCUCUUGCAAUGCCACACGGGAGAGGGAGACGAAGCAUUCUGUUCAGAAGAGCCCUUUGGACAUCCAGGGAAUGCAGGGCCUUCUCAAGAGCCGUACUUGGAGAACUGAAGAUUUUAUGGUUUAUGUGAAAAUCUGUCACAACCUUAGAACUCACUCAAAAAACAAGGAACCAGUACGAGGAGCCGUACUGACCAAGGAACCAAUCACUAUGGUGGUCGCAAAGGAACUGAAGUGCUGGUGCUUCCUCCCCCCUUAAAUAGCCAUGUGGUCACAUGGGGUGGGGUGCAAGCACCAAGCGGAGCUGUGUUACUCCACACCAACAGGUUUCAGCACAGGCGCAGAACCCAUUCUAAUGGAUUCAAUGGAUCACGCCCCAGAUCUUGAGGCUCUCAAACAGCAUUGGUAGAAGGGCAGAUGGUUCUCAGGGAAGAGUGAGAGAGGCACAGUGCAGUUCAAAGGAACAGUCCGUAAGCAGCUGAUAAAGAUUGGAAAGCCUAGAGAGAAGAUUUUCUGUGGAGAGGCAUAACCAUAAGUUAUGAAAGGUUAGGCAAGAGAUGAUAGGGAAAACAGUGGCUGACAUUUUGACUAAAUUACUCAAAAUUCCCACUGAAACACAAUACGUUAGUCAUGACUGGUGCUAUAAAAUUCAAUUAUAGCAAUUGCUUAUGAGCUUUCAGUACAAUAAAAAAGUAAAGUUGUGCUGUCAAGUCGGUGUCGACUCUUGGCAACCACAGAGCCCUGUGGUUUUCUUUGGUAGAAUACAGGAGGGGUUUAUCAUUGCCAUCUCCCGCGCAGUGUGAGAUGAUGCCUUUCAGCAUCUUCCUAUAUUGCUGCUGCUCGAUAUAGGUGUUUCCCAUAGUCUGGGAAACAUACCAGUGGGGAUUUGAACCAACAACUUCUUGCUCCCUAGGUAAGUUACUUACCCACUGUGCCAUUAGGUGGCUUACAUUAAAUAGUGUUGGACAAUAUAUAUUUGUAUACACAGUUAUCAGCAACCAUUUAUGUUAACUACAAAAUAAUAAAACCUGGUUAUUU
Hemicordylus capensis (graceful crag lizard) is the source of this 1169-nucleotide long non-coding RNA. RefSeq lists it as uncharacterized. Lineage: Eukaryota; Metazoa; Chordata; Lepidosauria; Squamata; Cordylidae. The transcript has 3 exons. The record is from RefSeq and is a predicted model, not a curated record.